CUGAGAUGUUAUUUUAAGUUUAAGCCCUUACUAAAGCCGGAUAUUCCCCGGGAAGAAGAGAGGAAACAACGCGAACUAGGACUGCGCUUGAAAAUGUGAAGGCCGAGGGGUUUUUUCGCAAAACACCUUUCCCCUCUCCCUCUGUCGCCGCCGUCUCCGGCCUCCAUGUGGUCGGGGGAUGAGGAUCGGACCACCCCCGUGCGCCGGUCAGCGUCUCCUUCCCGGUCUCAUAUGCCGCCUGCGCGCCGCUCGCCGCCGCGCGGUCACUGCCAUGCGGCGCCGCCAUGACGUCGCUCGACUUCGAGACAUCUAUCUUCAACAAGGAGAAGGUCUUCCUCGCCGGCCACGAGGAGGAGGGGCCUGCACAAGCCCAGAACCUGAGGGAUUCACUAGCUGAAGCGAAGUCAGACAUUGUUCUACAUAAGAAUUUUGCAGACCGAGGCUUGGCCACCGAGGCGCAAGCGCAGAUGGAGCAGUUCGAGUAGCCGCGGUCAUGGAUGGAGCUAGCGCUGGUGUUGUCAUGGUGAUGCUGACGAAGGCGAUGAGCUCUCACAGACGCCGUCUUCUUCUCCUUACCCAAUGUGACAUGCUUUGCCGUUCUGAUAAAGGUCAAGAAAAUGAAGCCGAAAGUUGUAAAUAAUAUGAAUAAGCAACGCAUCACUAGCCAUACUGUAUGCAAACAGAGGUAUGAGCGUACAGAACUAAUAAAUAGUAUGUUUGUUUAUUGUUUAUGCCAAAUUCUCUUUGUGAAUUGCUGGUAUUUCCUUCAUCGAUAUUCCCAUAGAUCCUAGGGUAAGCUGAUUUGCCAUGAGCUUGUGGGGUGAAUAGUUUUUGAGGUGAAGCUCCUUCGUCUGACAUGUUUGAUGAUGUUCCAUGCCUUGAGGACCUCAUUGCAGGAGAUACUGGAUAAGGGGGAAAAGGGGAAAGACAAAGAUAGGUCCUGACAUGACGGACGCAUUCACUAGAGUACUAACAGGUGCGUUGGUGAUCUCCCUAUCACUAGAGCAUUUUCCCCCUGUUUAUCAUUGAUGAUGUAGCUCCGAGAAGAGAUUUACAGAUUUUGGUAAUUUACCAAUUCCUUUUUCCUUUUGGAUCUACAUGGUUCUGUAUAAUAGCAGAUAAUAUAUAAUUAUAUUGCACUAGAUUAUCAAUCGAGUGGCUGAUUCAUACACUGGCCACCUGAUGGAUUCAAGGCUUCUGUGUUGCCGGGCAUUGUAGGUGGUUAGUGCCGUUAAGAACACAUGCUAGAUGGAGGAAGGGCUGAUGAAAAGAGAAGGAUACAAGCCACAGUUGCUUUGUUACAUAUAUGAAUUGGAAGCUAGAGUGAGGGUGGCGCACCUGCUGGGUUCAAAAUCCCAUUAAUAAGUGUUGUUAUUUGACCUACCUAUUGCUAUUCUUUAAUAUAAGCAUUUGGUACCACAAGCAUUUUUUUUUCUUUUUUAACUAAUGAAGCGGAAAGCCCAGAGAGAAACUAGUGAUUAAAUCAUUUAACACUAAAACAGUUGGUCUACUCAUGAUCUCUAUUGGAACGGCCUGCUUUUGUUUUUAUCCCAACGGAGUUGAUUCUGGUGCUGAUACUCUCACUAAUUUGACAGAUGUCGAAAAGUAUUCCUGUUGCUACUGUUGCAAUUGGAAAUGCAGAAAAUGCAGGUUUAUUGGCAGUUAGGAUGCUGGCCUCAAGAGAUCCUGAGUUGGGGGACAAGUAUGAUUUCUUCUUUUUUUGCAAUUCUCCUGCAAAUUUCGAAGUUUGCUUAGGGUAACUGUAUGUAUGUAUGCAAUUGAUAAUAGAUACCUCAUAGCAGUAAGUUGCAUAUGUUCGACCUGGCUCACAUAUGUUAAUUCCUUAAUUCCUGGAGUUAUACAUAAGCAGUGGUUUGAGCUGAUAUCUGCCAGGCUGCAGCAAGCCAGUGAGUAACUGAGUAGACUGAUGAGACCUUUGGUAAUGUACCAAAUUGCCAACAAAGCUAGUCAGUAGAAAUGUAGAAUCAUGAAAAAAGUUCUCAAUUGAUCAAUCUGUUCGAAAAGAAUGAUCAAUGUUACGUUACAGUUGCUCGAAAUUUGCAGUAGGUCAUUAGUCAUCAGUACAACUUUCUCAUUUUGCCUUGACCUGCUGAAAACCUAGUUACAUUGUCUGGGAGCACAAGUGAUUAUUUGGCUAGCAUGUUUUCAGUUAGGGACCUAUUUUCAGUUGUUACACUACACCUGUCUGAUGUAGGCUAAUUAAGUUGCCUCAUAAAAAGUAGAUGUUAGCACCCGACUUGCUUUCAGGGCAACUGAAUGCCAGCAUGAUCUGAGGGAUAUGGUGUUGGAGAAAGCAAAAAGGCUUGAGGAACUAGGUUGGGAGGAAUAUACUAAGCUAUACUUGAAGAAGCAUUGAUCCCUGCCUGCCCAUUGUAUUGUCAUUCUUUUUGAUCCAGUGUUGACAUAAGCAGAUUGACCCAUGUGGAGGCCUGGAGAGGGCGUGCCGACUUACAAAGUGAAAGAUGUUAACGAAGCACGGCGCAUGAGCAUCUCAGUAUCAUAAAACUUUGCUUGUAUAACUGUAACAACAUGCCUGCCUGAAAUGUUUGUUUUAGAGGAUGCCUGAAAUGUUCAUGCGGAUCUUAUGAUGAUGUUUCAGGGAAAAAAAUCAACCAAUUUUAACGAGUUCUGAAAAAAGAAAAAGAAUCGAGAACCUGUGGAGUAUCAUGCUUUAUUAGCAAUUUCCUGAUGAAGCGUGACGACUGCCGCGCCAGCACAAAUCGUGACUACAGAUAAACAUUGCAACUGAAUAGUGUUGCGAAAAGGAUUUCCUGAGAUGCAUGAACAAGAUCUUUGGUAGAAUCAUCACCAUGAUCCAUCUCGCAAGAUGCAUGUGUUGCUUGCGUCCCAAACUUUGCAUGGAUGAAAUCAGGCCAGCAAGAGCAUACAUGAACCUUAUGGCUCUCUGCACUGCUGCGAGCCAACUUUUCUUUCCAACUACCAGCUCGCACAGUGGCACACUCUUGUGUAUGAAAUGAUUGAUUACAAUCAAGAUCACUCUGAUAUGUCAUGACAUGGGCAUUCCAAAUCAAUCUUGCAACAGAUUAAGUCAUCAUGGAUGCAUGCCAAUUGCCUGCAGGCAAGAAGCUUAAUUAGUUC
Non-coding RNA from Oryza sativa Japonica Group (Japanese rice), 3120 nucleotides. The record is from RefSeq and is a predicted model, not a curated record. Lineage: Eukaryota; Viridiplantae; Streptophyta; Magnoliopsida; Poales; Poaceae.